GAUGAACGCUGGCUAUGGGCCUAAUACAUGCAAGUCGAGCGAACGGACGAGUAUGUGGUUUCUCUGAUGGUAGCGGCGGACGGGCGAGUAACAGUUGGAUAACCCACCUAUAAGACUUACAUAGCGUCGGGAAACCGGAGCUAAGACCGGUAGAUAUUGUAAACCGUUUGUUUCAAAAGUGAUAAACGGUCGUGCUGUCGCUAAUAGAUGGAGCCGCGAUGCAUUAGCUAGUUGGUAAGGUAACGGCUUACCAAGGCAACGAUGCAUAGCGGACCUGAGAGGGUGAUCGGCCACACCGGAACUGAGACACGGUCCAGACUCAUACGGGAGGCAGCAGUAGGGAAUCUUCCGCAAUGGGCGAAAGCCUGACGGAGAAAAGCCGCGUGAGUGAUGAAGGUCUUCGGAUAGUAAAACUCUGCUAUUAGGGAAGAACAUAUGUGUAAGUAACUGUGCACAUAUUGACGGUACCUAAUCAGAAAGCCACGGCUAACUACGUG
Molecule: ribosomal RNA, 497 nt
Filed under: uncultured bacterium
Lineage: Bacteria
Description: partial 16S ribosomal RNA
Rfam family: Bacterial small subunit ribosomal RNA
Source: RNAcentral